Molecule: long non-coding RNA, 203 nt
Filed under: Mytilus galloprovincialis (Mediterranean mussel)
Lineage: Eukaryota; Metazoa; Mollusca; Bivalvia; Mytilida; Mytilidae
Source: RNAcentral
CCAGAAGGUCACUAAAAGAACGGAACGUCCAUCUUUAUAUAUAUCUCUUCUGGUCUAAUUCAAGAAUAAAGAGGAGACAUUUUUUGAGCUAGUAAUAACAAGAUUUUGAAUUAUUUAAAAUAUUAUCUCAAAAGAAAUUUGUCUUUCAUGCCUGUUGCUGUUGUUCAUCUUGAAAUUCACCACCAAAUCAUCAAUAUUUCAAC